GACGAACGCUGGCGGCGUGCUUAACACAUGCAAGUCGAACGGAAAGGCCCUGCUUUUGUGGGGUGCUCGAGUGGCGAACGGGUGAGUAACACGUGAGUAACCUGCCCUUGACUUUGGGAUAACUUCAGGAAACUGGGGCUAAUACCGGAUAGGAGCUCCUGCUGAAUGGUGGGGGUUGGAAAGUUUCGGCGGUUGGGGAUGGACUCGCGGCUUAUCAGCUUGUUGGUGGGGUAGUGGCUUACCAAGGCUUUGACGGGUAGCCGGCCUGAGAGGGUGACCGGCCACAUUGGGACUGAGAUACGGCCCAGUCUGCUACGGGAGGCAGCAGUGGGAAAUAUUGCCCAAUGGGCGGAAGCCUGAGGCAGCAACCCCGCGUGCGGGAUGACGGCCUUCGGGUUGAAAACCGCUUGCGCCUGAGACGAAGCGUGAGUGACGGUAAUGGGUAAAGAAGCACCGGCUAACUACGUG
RNAcentral lists this ribosomal RNA (468 nucleotides) under uncultured bacterium. RNAcentral's name for it is "partial 16S ribosomal RNA". It matches the Rfam family "Bacterial small subunit ribosomal RNA", at positions 28 to 507 of the family's 1533-position model. The record is from RNAcentral.